CCAGACUCCUACGGGAGGCAGCAGUGGGGAAUAUUGCACAAUGGGGGAAACCCUGAUGCAGCGACGCCGCGUGAGUGAAGACGGUCCUACGGAUUGUAAACCUCUUUUGCCGGGGAGCAACGGGGUCCUUGCGAGGGCCCGAUGAGAGUACCCGGAGAAAAAGCAUCGGCUAACUCCGUGCCAGCAGCCGCGGUAAUACGGAGGAUGCGAGCGUUAUCCGGAUUUAUUGGGUUUAAAGGGUGCGCAGGCGGCACGGCAAGCCGGCGGUCAAAUCGCGGGGCUCAACCCCGCCCAGCCGUCGGAACUGCCGGGCUAGAGUGGGCGAGAAGUGCGCGGAAUGCGUGGUGUAGCGGUGAAAUGCAUAGAUAUCACGCAGAACUCCGAUUGCGAAGGCAGCGCACCGGCGCCCUACUGACGCUCAGGCACGAAAGCGUGGGUAUCGAACAGGAUUAGAUACCCCGGUA
This 464-nucleotide ribosomal RNA is filed under the name uncultured bacterium. RNAcentral describes it as "bacterial SSU rRNA". It matches the Rfam family "Bacterial small subunit ribosomal RNA", at positions 331 to 792 of the family's 1533-position model. The record is from RNAcentral.